Molecule: ribosomal RNA, 466 nt
Filed under: uncultured bacterium
Lineage: Bacteria
Description: partial 16S ribosomal RNA
Rfam family: Bacterial small subunit ribosomal RNA
Source: RNAcentral
GAUGAACGCUGGCGGCGUGCUUAACACAUGCAAGUCGAACGAUGAAGCCCAGCUUGCUGGGUGGAUUAGUGGCGAACGGGUGAGUAACACGUGAGUAACCUGCCCUUGACUCUGGGAUAAGCCUGGGAAACUGGGUCUAAUACUGGAUAUGACUUCUCAUCGCAUGGUGGGGGGUGGAAAGAUUUAUUGGUCUUGGAUGGACUCGCGGCCUAUCAGCUUGUUGGUGAGGUAAUGGCUCACCAAGGCGACGACGGGUAGCCGGCCUGAGAGGGUGACCGGCCACACUGGGACUGAGACACGGCCCAGACUCCUACGGGAGGCAGCAGUGGGGAAUAUUGUACAAUGGGCGCAAGCCUGAUGCAGCGACGCCGCGUGAGGGAUGACGGCCUUCGGGUUGUAAACCUCUUUCAGUAGGGAAGAAGCGAGAGUGACGGCACCUGCAGAAGAAGCGCCGGCUAACUACGUG